UCACGUUUCGGUCCGCCAAAACGAGAUCGUGAGCCGUCCGAUACGCUCCUCCCUCCGCUCGCUUCCUCUCCUCCCCUCUCCGCCUCACCCACGCCCCAAACUAGCCGCCGCACCCGCCGCCCUCCAGUACCCAGGUCCACCCAUCCGCCACCGGCCCCGCCCCCCGCCGGCCGCCGCUCCUCCUCCUUGCCGUGACCUCCCCCGACCUUCUGCAAGCGCGCGCGGACCCGCACCACGCACUCGCUCGACGCGCCGCCGGCUCCCUCGCCAUCUCCCCCGACGGCUCCAUCUCCGCCGAGCUCUCCCACCCAUCCCGCCCGCGGCCUCUCGUGCUCCUCCUCUCCAUACUGCCCCUGCACGCGCUGCAUCUCCAGAUCCCGAACGUCCUCCUCGCCCCACCAGGCAGGCGCGCUGCGUGGCCGGACGGAGCGAGGCGGCGCAGCAGUGCCGGUUCGCCCCGAGGAGGCGGCACGGCUGGGACAAAGCGCGUCCGCGACCAUGCCAGGUUGUUGGAGCAAGGCUGCGCGGGGCGACCUCUAUGCGCUAGCCUCCCUCCAGCUGCAUCGGCUUAGUGGCGGCGGCGACACACGGGGCCAAGAGGAGGCGGGGCGGCCGCUAGGCCUUGGCGAUGUGGCCUCUUCACGCCGGCCCCUUCCGAUGUCCCCUAGAUCCUCUUGCUGUCGGCGGCGUUCAUGGCGGAAGGGCACGGCCGCGCGGUCGGUGAUGCACCAAGAGGAUGCGACUGUGGCAGUGUGGCCCGCCUCGGUGCAUCGCCAUCCCCGUCCCCAUCUCAUCUACGAUGCUACUACUACCGCAGGAGACAGUCAUCCAGUCGGCAACAACAACCUCUCCUCGAUUAAGCUGAUGCUUCACCUCCGACACAUCCGGCGGCUUGGGCCAUCGGAGUGGAGCUUCGACUUAGGGGCCGACGACAUGGCGUAUCCCCUGGGGGGUUCCUGCUCCACAAUCUCACCUGCACAAACCCAGCCACCACCCAUGUAUUCAUAGGAGGUGCCGCCUUCCGUUUUCUUCAAAGGUUUCCCCUUCUAGAUCUUAUCAAUCUGGUGACUGGCUGUAGGAAGAGCAUUGCCUUGCUACCCUUUUAAACCUUUGCCUUUGCAACAUCUCUGUAUGCUGACAAGGAAGAGAGUUUCAGGAGGAGAUUGUGAAGCCUUAGCAGUUUUUUCCAUCUAGGGAUAGAAGUGCAGUUGCAUCUCCUCUUCGAUUAUUUCUGCAACAAUACUAGCAGGGACUGUUCAUAUGGAAGAGGAUUCAUUUGCAAUGUUUGGCAUGAAUGUCUCGGUGGGAUAUAUUUUAGUAAUGCAGCAAGCUGGUAGAGAUGUGCAGGCUGCAAACUGGUAUUUGAUUCAUUUACCUCUUGCAGGUUUGAUAAGUGCUAAAUCAUAUGUAGAGUACUUUAAAUUCUAGAGCUGUCAGCAAUAGAAUAUAUGGCCCCAGUUAGAUGAUUUUAGCACCUACUAUGGAUUGUUAGAAAUUUGUCAGGUUGAGAGCUUGUAAAUGUUACUGAACUUUCUCUUCAGCUGCACAAUUAUGGAAAAAAAGAUGUAUGGAAAGUUCCUCAAGUAAAUAACUGGCAUGUUCCUGAUUAGGAUGGACCUCUAAAUUGUUCUUGUUCUAGCGUUCUGCCUACCUGUGCUAUUCUUCUAUACAUCAUCUUUGUUGCUGCCCUGUCUGAUCAUUCCAUCUUUGCAACUGCAAUUAAGAUACAAGGAUAAACUAGCAUGGCAAAUAAUCAUGGCAGGAUGCUGAAAGUGGGGGUUCUUCUAUAGAUAUGCAUUAGUGACAUAGUUUACUUGGCUUGCAAUUAUUGCUCUUGAACAUUUAUCCUUUUCUCUGAGUGGUGUGAAAUGCCGUGGCUUGGGCUGUAGGCAUCGAUUUGGGCAGCAUUUCUGACAACACGUGAGAACAGUCCUUGAAACUUUCCUGGUAAUUGUCGAAUUGGCAUGAUGCUUUUACCUGUUCGAUGUGUACUUGAUGAGUGCAAUUCAAGGUUGGUUUUAGUCUUGGUCAGGGUUAGUUGAGAACUAGAAAGAAGAAAUUGUUGAUGAGUAAUACUUCCUCUGAUUUUGCAUGCUUUCUGUUUGUACUUGUCAUUUCAGGCACCAUCAUAUGUGUCCAACUUGCUUGAAAGGUCUUGGUGCUUUGAGUUUCUUUUAGUAAUCUCUAGCUCAUCAGGAAUUAUUGUGCAUGCAUGCGUUGGAAACUUCAACCUGAACCGAUGAUCUUGGCAAUCAACUGAAGCUUCUUUAAUUUAUUUGGUAAUCAAUUGAAGCUUCUUGAUUGGUUUGGAAUAUAAUAAUGGCUGCAGAGUUAACUUGGAAUAGUAAAGCUACGGAUCAAUCUAUGUUUGAGUGUUACUGUUUGCCAUAGAUUGCCUGCAAGGCUGCAAGUUCUAGCGCUAAAAGCAUGAUACAUUCUGCUGCAUUUCUGUGAUAGUGCCUUGCUAGCGCUAAAAGCAUGAUACAUUCUGCUCCUCACACAUUUGAAGAGAUGAUGCAAGUUUCAGAAGCAACAUGAUGUGCCCUUGAAAAUUGCAAAUAAGUUUUGACUUUCAGCAAUAUCCUUAGGAAACCAGGCUAAAUUUAACCAAAAAUCUUAUGAACAGUAGGUAUUGACUAGGCUGCAUUUGUCCCGUCAAGGAUGUCAUGGACAUGCUGGAAGAGUAUGAGUGGCUAGCUUAAAUCUAGGUAAGAGGAAAAGGCUCAAGGUUCCCAAGAAAAGGUAACAUGAAUAUCCAGCGGGUCCUCUCACCGCAUUUGCAGUCUCAGAUCAAACAGAUGUGAUCAAAAGAGAUGAGUGGAAUGCUUGGAGGCAUGGGCCCAUGAGCGGUAAUUUUACAUGUUCAAGUCUUGUUUUAGUGCAUACUCCAUGUGACUCUGUUAAUGUGCUUUUGAGAAGGCGAACUUUUGGAAGCAUUCUGGUCUUAUGUGUGCAUUUCCUUUAUGGUGAGGGUAUCAUGAUAUUAGAGCACAACAUCAUUGGUCAUUGCAUGUUUGUUAGCAGUGCUCUAAGCUGGUUGGUUGGAGUGUUGGACCCUAGCAGAGCACGCCUAUUUGUUCGGAGGAAGCCCAGAUGGUAUGGAUGCGAAACGUGGGGCUCCAAUCUUCUGGAAGUUGUAUGGGGGGAUUGAGUUUCGAUAAAGCGUUUGUCAUUGAGUUUUGAUGUACAUUCAUACAAAUGAGUGCUUCAAAUAUUUUUGUCUUGAAAUACGUGCAUGUAUGUGCUGUGGAAAUUGUCACCGGAACGUUGGGCUCUCCUACAUUUAACGGUGAACUUGAUAUCAUUAACGUUCUAGAAUUCUGUUUUCCUGUUC
Setaria italica (foxtail millet) is the source of this 3334-nucleotide long non-coding RNA. RefSeq lists it as uncharacterized. The transcript has 4 exons. The record is from RefSeq and is a predicted model, not a curated record. NCBI's taxonomy places the organism in Eukaryota, Viridiplantae, Streptophyta, Magnoliopsida, Poales, Poaceae.